RNAcentral lists this ribosomal RNA (1041 nucleotides) under Heterodera latipons. RNAcentral describes it as "eukaryotic LSU rRNA". The stretch from base 624 to 777 matches the Rfam family "5.8S ribosomal RNA". The record is from RNAcentral. Lineage: Eukaryota; Metazoa; Nematoda; Chromadorea; Rhabditida; Heteroderidae.
GUUUCCGUAGGUGAACCUGCUGCUGGAUCAUUACCCAAGUGAUUCCAUUCACCAUCUACCUGCUGUCCAGUUGGACUUGUGUCGGCAUCACCAUAUGCCCCUGUCUGCUGUUGAGACGGGCACGGACCGGUCGAGUGGUCUGUGGACACGGGACAACACUGAACGGACAGCUUACCCUGCGAGCAGAGCUUUGGGGUGUUUUCAAUGUUGGAGCUGGCAUACUGACUCGUUGCUGAGCAAGUGAAAGCCUGAGGUUGGCUGCUGUGAGGCAAAUGAGUUGGUGGCGGACUGCCUCGCUGGUUGGUUUGCUGCACCAACGGAGGGAGCACGCUCGUUGGGUGACCAAACGGCUGUGCUGGCGUCUGUGCGUCGUUGAGCGGUUGUUGUGCCAAGCAUAUGACACACUGGCCUGGAAUAUUGGUUGUGUUCCUGGUCUUACGUGCCGUAAUAAGCGGUGUGUCGGUGCUUGCGUGCUACGUCCGUGGCCGUGAUGAGACGACGUGGUAGGGCCCGUGCUUUGCUGAUAGCACGUGGCUUAAGACUUAAUGAGUGUCAGCUAGGCACCGCCAGUGUUCUUUUUCAUUUAUUUUUUUUUAACACUUCAUUGCUGAAGAAAGAAAUUCUAGUCUUAUCGGUGGAUCACUCGGCUCGUGGAUCGAUGAAGAACGCAGCCAACUGCGAUAAUUAGUGCGAACUGCAGAAACCUUGAACACAAAACUUUCGAAUGCACAUUGCGCCAUUGGAGUUACAUCCAUUGGCACGCCUGGUUCAGGGUCGUUAUCAUAAAAUGCACUGCUGUGCGUGUUAUGUUGGUGAGAUCAUGUCUGCUUGACGUGUUCUUGCGCUAUUUCAUUGAAUGCCCGGCUGUGGAUUGUGGUUGCGCUAGCGCGAAAUUGUCAAGUUUUUUUCGCGUUUACGGACCGUAACUUGGGCGCAACUGUUCUCCAUGUAUGCUUGGGCGGAAUGCUUCGCUGGUAGGCAUUCCUCUUUUGAAUUUUCGACCUGAACUCAGACGUGAGUACCCGCUGAACUUAAGCAUAU